This 426-nucleotide ribosomal RNA is filed under the name Clostridioides difficile. RNAcentral describes it as "bacterial LSU rRNA". It matches the Rfam family "Bacterial large subunit ribosomal RNA", at positions 2497 to 2925 of the family's 2925-position model. The record is from RNAcentral. Lineage: Bacteria; Bacillati; Bacillota; Clostridia; Peptostreptococcales; Peptostreptococcaceae.
AGUCCACAUCGACGGGGAGGUUUGGCACCUCGAUGUCGGCUCAUCACAUCCUGGGGCUGUAGUAGGUCCCAAGGGUGUGUCUGUUCGCCCAUUAUAGUGGUACGCUAGCUGGGUUCAGAACGGCGUGCGACAUGUCGGUCCCUAUCCGUCGCAGGCGUAGGAAAUUUGAGAAGACCUGUCCUUAGGCCGAGAGGUACGGGAUGGACGUACCUCUGGUGUACCAGUUGUUCGGCCAAGGGCAUGGCUGGGUAGCUAUGUACGGAAUGGAUAAGCGCUGAAAGCAUCUAAGCGCAAAGCCAACUUCAAGAUAAGAUUUCCCACCGCAAGGGUAAGACCCCAGAAAGACUAUCUGGUUGAUAGGUCGAAGGUGUAAGUGCAGCAAUGUAUUUAGCUUAUCGAUACUAAUAGGUCGAGGACUUGACCAAU